CCAACGGCCCUUUUUAGGGCCACCAACUUUACAAGCCACUAAAAC
Necator americanus (New World hookworm) is the source of this 45-nucleotide non-coding RNA. The record is from Rfam. Lineage: Eukaryota; Metazoa; Nematoda; Chromadorea; Rhabditida; Ancylostomatidae.